UACGUAGGGUGCGAGCGUUGUCCGGAAUCAUUGGGCGUAAAGAGCGCGUAGGCGGUCCGGUAAGUCCGCUCUGAAAGUCCGGGGCUCAACCCCGGGAGGCGGGCGGAUACUGUCGGGCUAGAGUCCGGAAGAGGGCGAGUGGAAUUCCUGGUGUAGCGGUGAAAUGCGCAGAUAUCAGGAGGAACACCAAUGGCGAAGGCAGCUCGCUGGGACGGUACUGACGCUGAGGCGCGAAAGCGUGGGGAGCAAACAGGA
RNAcentral lists this ribosomal RNA (255 nucleotides) under uncultured bacterium. RNAcentral's name for it is "partial 16S ribosomal RNA". It matches the Rfam family "Bacterial small subunit ribosomal RNA", at positions 524 to 777 of the family's 1533-position model. The record is from RNAcentral.